This 74-nucleotide transfer RNA is filed under the name Lentinula edodes (shiitake mushroom). It matches the Rfam family "tRNA". From Rfam's summary of the family: Transfer RNA (tRNA) molecules are approximately 80 nucleotides in length. Their secondary structure includes four short double-helical elements and three loops (D, anti-codon, and T loops). Lineage: Eukaryota; Fungi; Basidiomycota; Agaricomycetes; Agaricales; Omphalotaceae. The record is from Rfam by way of RNAcentral.
GGUCGGAUAGCUCAGUUGUAGGAGCAUCUGGAAUAUAACCAGAAGGUCCUGGGUUCAAUCCCCCAGUCUGGUCA